Molecule: long non-coding RNA, 228 nt
Filed under: Manihot esculenta (cassava)
Lineage: Eukaryota; Viridiplantae; Streptophyta; Magnoliopsida; Malpighiales; Euphorbiaceae
Description: long non-coding RNA (MESC_LNC005509)
Source: RNAcentral
UCUUGCAACUGUUCCUUCAAUUCUUUCAACUCGGCUGGAGCCAUCCUGUAGGGAGGGAUAGAGAUCGGUCGGGUUCCAGGCAUCAGUUCUAUCUCGAACUCUAUCUCCCUAGCAGGUGGUAAACCUGGCAACUCGUCUGGGAAGACGUCUAGAAACUCUCUAACCACUGGCACCGAGGCGGGCUCUCUAACCUGACUGCUAAGCUCUCUCACAUGAGCCAAAUACCCC